GUGGGGAAUAUUGGACAAUGGGCGAAAGCCUGAUCCAGCCAUGUCGCGUGUGUGAAGAAGGUCUUCGGAUUGUAAAGCACUUUAAGUUGGGAGGAAGGGCAGUAAGUUAAUACCUUGCUGUUUUGACGUUACCGACAGAAUAAGCACCGGCUAACUUCGUGCCAGCAGCCGCGGUAAUACGAAGGGUGCAAGCGUUAAUCGGAAUUACUGGGCGUAAAGCGCGCGUAGGUGGUUUUGUAAGUUGGAGGUGAAAUCCCCGGGCUCAACCUGGGAACUGCCUCCAAAACUGCAUGACUAGAGUACGGUAGAGGGUAGUGGAAUUUCCUGUGUAGCGGUGAAAUGCGUAGAUAUAGGAAGGAACACCAGUGGCGAAGGCGACUACCUGGACUGAUACUGACACUGAGGUGCGAAAGCGUGGAGAGCAAACAGGAUUAGAUACCCCUGUAGUCC
This 450-nucleotide ribosomal RNA is filed under the name uncultured bacterium. RNAcentral describes it as "partial 16S ribosomal RNA". It matches the Rfam family "Bacterial small subunit ribosomal RNA", at positions 354 to 796 of the family's 1533-position model. The record is from RNAcentral.